Molecule: long non-coding RNA, 183 nt
Organism: Sphaeramia orbicularis (orbiculate cardinalfish)
Lineage: Eukaryota; Metazoa; Chordata; Actinopteri; Kurtiformes; Apogonidae
Exons: 3
Source: RefSeq, a predicted model, not a curated record
AUAUAUUUUGUUGUUUUCAUUCCACUGGACAAUAAAAACGUGAUAUACUAAAGGUUUGUGCAUGUAAAAACGUGUGCAAUCUUGACUGUGCACGCAAAAACACGUUGAAGCUUAUCUACGAACAGGAUGCAUGGAGGGUUGCGCCUCUCAAAUAGGCAAAACAGCUCGCGCAACCCAUUUAGC